AUGAAUACUCCGCUAACAAGAUGGGUAGCUGCUUUUCUUUGGAUUGCAGGAUGCUCAGAUGCCAACAUCAUCCAACCACAGAGCAUGAUUCUGGAAGAAGGUCAAGAUGCUAGAUUGGAAUGUAGACAAGACUAUGGACAUCGUAAUAUGCUUUGGUUUCGGCAGCAUAAACAGCAGCAGGAUUUUCAGCUCCUCUAUAGUUUCUAUAAUGGUAACAUCCUGCAGAAAAAUCCAUCUUUGCACCGUCUGAAUGCUGACCAACCUAUGCUGGAUCGCUGUCUUUUGAGUAUAUCAGCUGUGAAGCCAGAGGAUUCAGCAGUGUACUUCUGUGCAAGCAGUUAA
Molecule: non-coding RNA, 342 nt
Organism: Thamnophis sirtalis
Lineage: Eukaryota; Metazoa; Chordata; Lepidosauria; Squamata; Natricidae
Source: the annotation of a RefSeq genome assembly